Molecule: long non-coding RNA, 6122 nt
Organism: Piliocolobus tephrosceles (Ugandan red Colobus)
Lineage: Eukaryota; Metazoa; Chordata; Mammalia; Primates; Cercopithecidae
Source: Ensembl
UAUUAUAUAAAAAAUAAUUUUUUACCUUAUGUAUAUCGAAAAAAAAACUUAUUAAAUGAAGAAGAACAAAAUAAAAAUAAUAAAAAAAAUAAUUUUUUAGUAAUAAAAUUAAAAAAAAAAAAUGAUAGAGUAUUUGAAAAAGCGGAUAAAAACGAAUUGGACGAGAAGUACAAUGUACAAUUAGAUGCGAACAAGUAUAGUAAGAAACAUGGAAACAGUGGGACGAGCGUCGAAAAUGAACAAAAUGAACAAAAUGAACAAAAUGAACAAAAUGAACAAAGUGAACAAAAUGAACAAAGUGAACAAAGUGAACAAAGUGAACAAAGUGAACAAAGUGAACAAAGUAAGACACAUGUUGAAAAUAUAGAGAGUGACCAAAGUAGGACGAACCUCAAAAAUAAACUACUGGACCGAAACAGAACAUCGUUUUACCGCUUAUGGAGUGAGUACUAUCAAUUUUGUCCAGUUUCAUACAUAAAUGAAAAGAAAAUAAUAAAGGGUAAAGAUAAAUAUGUAACAAUAUUUAAGAAUAAGAUAUAUAUGUUAUCAAGUUAUGAAAAUAUGGUUGAAUUUUUACGAUAUCCAAAUUUUUAUUCUAGUAAAAAAUUAAAAAAUUCAGUAAGUUUCACAUUUGUAAUUUAUUUUCCUAAUGAUGUAAUAAAAACAAAAGUUAUGAGUAUAUUAAAACAUAAUGAUAAAAACAUUGUACAUAUAGAUUUAAAUAAUUAUUUUCAAAACUUAUUUGAAAAAAAAAUACAUAAAAAGAUAGAAGAUCAAAAUUUAGACACAUAUUUAUUUGAAAUAAACCGUUUAAUUGAAGGUCAAAUGUUGUCUUGUUUAUUUAUAGUAAGAUAUUUAUGUAUUAAAAUGAACAAAAUUUAUCAUUUUAAUAUAUAUAUUAUGAAAGAACUUGUUUUAAGCUUAGAUAAGCUGAAAUAUACAUGUGAUGAGCUUCUAAAGUUAAAGGAUAAUUUUGAUAGUGGUCAUAACAACAACAGUCAAAGUAACAGCCACAGUAACAACAAAUACGAACAUAAAAUAAAAAACAAACGUGAAGAGCUGCAAAACGCAAUCUUCACCAAUACAUUAAAAAUAAAUGUUAUGUACAAUCUGCUAAUUAUUAAUAGAAAUAAUGAUAUAGAUAAUGGCGCUAAAAAUGUAUUAAAAAAAAUGUUAAACUGUAUAAAUUUUAUUUAUUUAAAUGUUAUAAUAGAUGAAUUGCAAACAUACAUUGAUAUGCUAUACGAGUUUGAGAGAAAAAAGUAUGCGAAUAAAAUGCAAGAUAUGAAUAAGUAUAGUAAAGAGGUUCAUAAAAAAAAGUUAGUAGUAGUACCCACUGAUAGUUGCGACGAAAUGGUUGACAAAGUGGUUGACAAAGUGGUUGACAAAGUGGUUGACAAAGUGGUUGACAAAACGGUUGACGAGUCGGUAAGCGAUAGUUUACAAAACACAGUAGCAAGUGAGCAAAACAAAAAAGGUGAGAAAAAUAAAGCGUAUAGUACUAUACACCCAAAUAGUAAAAAUAAUAUAACGUUUUUAAGUAAGCAUUAUAUGAUUACCGGUUUGCCACUAAAUGAUGAGGUAUAUAUGUAUCUAAAAAAAAUAAAUAUAAACAUAGACACAAUAGUUGCUUUUGAAAGUGAUAAUGAAAAUGGAUUAAAUAGCUAUGGUAGUAGUAGUUAUAAUAAUGAAGAAGGAGAUGGUAGUAGGCAGAAUGGACUAAUAGGAGAAGUAAAAGAUGAAGAGCAACAACAAAUCGAACAGAAUUUAAGCUAUUAUAACUAUUACAAAGCAAACAAAAAAUAUGAUACUAGUAGCAACGGUAUAAAAAAAAAAAAUAAAAUAAACAUAAGUGAAUCUAAUUGCUACGAUUGCAUGUAUUUUUAUAACAGAAAUUAUAAAAAACAAAUCAAAAAAUUAAAAAAAAAAAAAAAUAUAUAUAUAUAUAAAGUUCAUUAUAUUCGGUUUGUGACAAAAAAUAAUAUAUAUUAUUAUUGUGCAAACGAAAUCCAGAAGCUUUAUGAUCCUUACUUUCAUUUUUAUUUUAAUUAUAACUAUAUUUUGAACAAAAAGAUAUUUAAUGAUAAAAUAAACAAAAGUUAUACAAACAUGUAUUGUCCAUUUGUUUUAAAAAAGUAUAAAUGGUUAUAUAAAAGUGAGAAUAACAUUAAACUGAUUUAUAACGAUAAAUUAAAUUAUCUUUCUAACUAUUUUAACGCAUUACAAUUUGCACAAAAUAAACACUAUUUUUUAAAAAAUAAUUAUAAAGUACCUCCAUUAAGAAUUUUAUUAUUAACUGAUUAUGGUUGCGCUUUUGAUGAAUAUAUAGAUGGUAUCUUACGUAAAUUCCCCAUAAAAAAAAUAGACAUAGAAAAAGAUUUUUUACACUACUUCAAGUACAUAUGUAUAUACAUAAUUAAAUAUAUUUAUAUAUAUAAAAAAAAAGAGAAUUUCAAUUAUUACAGUAGUAGAAGAAAACAAAAGUUGUUACAAACAAUGUUAAUUCAAUCGGUUCCUUUAGAUAAGUUUAACAACACAGUGUAUAUAAACCAACAAGAUAUAUAUUUGAUAGAAAGCAAUAUGAAUUUUAGUAUUAACGUGUUAGAACAAUGUGAUCUGCAAUUAGAUAAACAAAUAUACACUAUUUUAUUUUCUAUUGUUAAACCAUUUAAUGUUCUGUUAAAUCUAACUAAACUUUUAACUAUGAGGUAUAUACUACACGAAAAUUUAGAAAAUUGCAUAAUCAGAUUUACUUGUUCGAAGCAAAAUAUUUUUCAUAUAACAACAGAGGAAAGGAUGUUGUUAUAUUUGUCAUGGGUUAUCAAAAAAAAAGAAAAAAAUAAUAGCAGUACUAACAAUAAUGGUGACAACACUUGUCGUAAUAAAAAAGAAAAUGGUGUGGAGGUAACAAAUAUAGAUAAACAACAGCUAGCUGAGCAAGAAAAAAUAGUUUCUACUGAAAAUGUUGACACAGAAGUAUGUUCCACGAGUGAAACUAUUUUUUCCUCUAAAAGUAGCAGCGAGGUGUCGUCGAGCGACACCAAUAACGAUUACAGUUUUAAUAAAAAAAAAAUAAAAAUAAAAAAUAUAUCAAAAAUGUUUAUAAAUAAGAACAGGCAGACAAUAAUAAACAGUGAGUAUUCUUUUUUAUCUAAAGAUAAUGUGUUAAAUACAUUUGAAAAAAUUUUAAAAUAUUCUUUUCGGGUUCCUGAGUUGGUAAUUUACUUAAGACUUGAUGCUUCGACAUUUUUUAACAGGUUGAAGUUAGCUAAGUUGGAAAGAAAACAGUUUGCUUUGGUUGAAAAGUGUGAAGGGUUGCAGACGGGGCAUGAUUGGCACAAGAAAAGCCACAGCAGGCAUAACAAAAGUCAGAAAAACAAAGUCGAGCAAAAUCAAGUUAACCAAAACCAAGUUAACCAAAACCAAGCCGAACAAAACCAAGCCGAGCAAAACCAAACCGAGCAAAACCAAACCGAGCAAAACCAAACCGAGCAAAACCAAACCGAGCAAAACCAAAUCAAAUACAAGGAAACAAAAAAGGAAACAAAAAAGGAACAGCUAAAAGAAAUAAAAAGAGUAUCCAAAAAAAAUAAAAAAAUUGCUACUUAUUUAGAAACAUGUAGCAACAUAUGGAAUAUCGAUACCGGCAGUGUUAACAUGCUAAAUGUAAAAAAUUCGAUUGAAAAUAGACUGAAGGAUUGUUUAAUAAAUAGAAAUAAUUUAUUUUACCAACUAAACAUUCAAAGAGUAGACAGAUUAUGGGCUAAUUUUUUAAAAAGUCAUAAUUAUGCAAACUUAUCAAGUUUUCUUUUUUAUUCACCAGUUAACGUAGAUAGUAUUGUAGAUAUUGAUACUGAAUUUAUAGUUUUGUAUAAUAAUUUUUUAUUUUAUUUUAGAAAUGAAAAAGAAUUAAAUUUGUUUCAAAAAAAACCUUGUCAUUACUUGAGUAUACUAAAACCAGACCCUUGUUUUAUAGUACCUUUUGUUUUUAUUUAUUCGUAUAUUGAAAUAAAUUUGUUACAUAAUGAGUUGAUAAAAAGCACCAAGUGCAAAGUGAUAAAUAAACAAAACUUAAUAUCAUUUGGAUGUCAAAUUAACAAAUAUAAAAAACAAAUAGAAGAUAAUAACAUAACUGAUGACAUGAUUGUAGAUUUGUUGCUUAUACGAAUAAAUCAGUAUGAUAUAUUAGCACAUGGAUGUAUAUUUUAUAAUUUGCCUUAUAAUAAAAAACAGUUGGAUAAAUUGGUAGAUUGUAAAAAACUGCCUCAAUUGAUUUUUGUUAUUGGUCAAGACGUUGCUAGUAAGACGGAAAUCGUAAGAGGUGGUAAAAUGAAGGAGACGGGUGCAACCUAUAGCAAACAAACAGUAACACAAAAGAGCGAACAAAAAAGCGAACAAAAAAGCGAAAAACAGAACAAACAAAAAAACACAAACGAAGUAAACGAAAUAAACACUGUAAUAGAAGCGUCAGACAAUAACCAACCCUCCAAAAACGAUAACAGUAUCAGCGUUAGUACCCGAUUUGUGCAAACAGUAGAAGAUAUGUUUAAAGCCAAAUACGAUAACAUAAUUUAUAUAGACUAUACUAAUGCAUGGAAGACAAAAUAUAAUAUAAUUACUUGUAUUGAAAAAAAAAUCGAAGAAUAUCAAAAAUAUAAUAGGUAUAAAUAUAAUAAUAAAAUAGCAUAUUUUAAAGGUUAUAAUAUAUAUGAAAAGGAAAAUUAUGAAAAGGAAAUAGAAUUUGAUAAUUUCUGUUUAGUUACAUAUAAAAGAAAAAGCAUAUUACAAAAAUGUGAUAUUAUUAAUAAUUAUACUAUUCAUUAUAAUGGUAAGUUUUAUUUAACUACUACUAUCGAUAAUGUUAGACAUUUUGAAGAGUCACCAGAUACAUAUAUAAAUGUAGACAAACCUGUACACACAUUUGAAAAAAUUGAUGUAAUAAAAGAAGACACUCUGAUAGAAAAUGAAAGCUUUUGUUUAGUUAGCUUAGUAGAAGAAAAUGCAUUCAUAAAAGGUGAUAAAACUUGUUGUAUUAAAUUUGAAAACAAAUUUUAUUUAUUUAAAAAUGAAGAAUGCUUAAAUAAAUUUGUAUGUAAUCAUACCAAGUAUUUACAUAAUAACAGUAUAUUCGAUAUAAUUAUAAAUAAGAUACAAAAUUCAAAUGAUAUUACAACAUUAGUUUAUUUAAAAACGUAUUUGUAUGAUAUCUUGUGUCACGCUUUGUAUGAGUUAGGCAAAUAUAGGCCCUUAUACCCAGGAUUAAGUGUUAAACAAAGCGCAAUCAAAUUUUUGGCUUUGUUUUUUUACAAAGAAAAUAUACAAUUUUCUGUCCAUUUAAAAAAGUUCUAUGAACAAGCUUUUCAAACGUUUUUAAAAGAAUGUGAAAUACCAAUAAACAUUCAUAUGUUGCAAGAAAAGUUUCAAAGCAAUUGUGAGAGUACUUGCAACAAGGGCGACAAAGGCGGUGAUAGAAGUAGUAGUAGUAGUAGUAGUAUACAACUUCAAAGCAUUAGGAAGCCGUUUAAAAAAUGGACACGUGUAGAUAUAGAGAAGUACGAGCGCUACAUAAGUAUGUACGACGUCAUUUUGUAUUCACAGCAGGAGAAACGGGGUCCAAAAAGUAGUAGUAACAUUUAGUUAAAACGGCUGAUAUUAAAAAUGGACAGUUUGAAUAUAUAGUAAAAAUAUUUUAAAACUAUGAGUAAUGGGAAGUUUUAUAGCUCGUUUUGAAGUAUGUGUUUGCGUUUGCGCAUUCGCGUGUUUAUACGUUCGUUAAUUCGUCAAUUCGUCAAUUCGUUAAUUCGUCAAUUCGUUAAUUCGUCAAUUCGUCAAUUCGUCAAUUCGUUGAUUUGUGCGUAUGUAUAUUUUAUUUAUUGAUUUAUUUUUUUUAAGAACGCGCAAGGUAAAACAUGCAAAAACGCAACACAUAAAAAAAAAGUCGUCGUUAAGACAGCUUUAUGACAGUCUAUAAAAAGUAAAAAUAGCGAAUACAUUAUUGACCAACAAUAUGAGCACAAGAAAGGCAAAAAACUAGCGAUUUUUAACAUGACUUGUUAAAAAAAAAAGAGCAUUUAUAAAAAAAAAAAAAUAAAUAAAUAAAGGAACAAAUAAAGAAAUCGUGU